ACUGCCAGUCCAGCACUGUCUGAAGUUUCUGUGGAGAGUCACGUCACUGAGAUGAGUUCUGCUCCAGCACCACAGUCCCCUGAGGUCACUGAGUGCAGGACUGUGGCUCAGGCUCCUGCAGGUACUUGUGUCUUUGAGAGUGAUGUUGCUGCCAAUCCAGCACUGUCUGAAGUUUCUGUGGAGAGUUACGUCGCUGGGACGAUUUCUGCUCCAGCACCAGAUUCCCCUGAGGCGACUGAGAGCAAAACAUUGGCUGAGGCUACUGUAGACACUUGUGUCUUUGAGAGUGGUGUUGCUGCCAGUCCAGCACUGUCUGGAGUUUCUGUUCAGACUGUUGCCAGUGUUGUGAGCAGUGGUUCAACUGCAGAAACAACUGUUACUGAUGGCAGGAGGCGUAGGACUUCUCGUUACACUCGUUUGUUAAAGAAAUCAAAGCGCUACGAUGCUCCUGAGCUCAACGCUGAUGUGGAGUUUGUAGCUGCUGUGAGGACCGAGGAGCUGGUCUUCUGUCCUCUUGAUGUUGAUGUUUGUCGGACUUUGUGUAGCAGGUUUGAUGUUGACUUUGAGCGGGUCAGUGCUUCUGCGUCAAGCCGGGUUGGUUCGCUGGGUGUUCCUUGCAGGAAGGAGAAGGUAGUGGCUGAUGGGAACUGCUUCUUCAGAGCCAUCUCUCAGGCUGUGAGUGGCUCUCAGAAGCACCAUCGUAAGAUCAGACUGGCUGUCUGUAAACAGCUGGAGAAAGAGGCAGCUCAGUACCAGAGCUUGUUGAGAUCUGAGUUCUCCUCUGUCUCCCAGUACAUUCAGCAGUCUAGGAUGAGGUUUGUGGGUAGUUGGGCCACAGAGGUGGAAAUUCAGGUUACAGCUGACUGGUUAGGAGUUAGUGUGUGUACCUUCACCGAUGGACGCUGGUUGAAGUACGGUUGUAGCAGGAAGCAGUUGUCGCCACAGUGUAUUUAUUUGGAGAAUAUUGGUGGGACUCAUUUUGAGAAUGUUGUCUGUGUUUGUGAGCCUGGACUGGAGAGCUGUUAUGGCUACUGUAAAGUGAGUGAGGUGACUGGUUACAGCAUGAGGUCGAGGAUGGUGGAGGCUGUAGUUUUGGAUACAGACAGAGCAGGAUGUGAAGGUGAUGUAAGUGUUGUUUCUAAUGAUGCUGUGAAGAAUGUUCGUAAAGUUAGACCAAGCAGUAGACUGUUUGAGUCAAUAUAUAUGAGACAGAAAAGAUGGAGACAGGAAAAAAAUAGCUCGAAUGUACAUAAACGUAGGGAAAUUUGCAGGAAGAGAUAUUUAAAAAAUUACGUCUUUAGAAAGAAGGAAAUGGCUCGUAGUAUAAAAAAGUAUUCUCAAGAUUUUUUACACAGGCAGAGAGUUAAAACAAGGAGCAUCUGUAAAUAUAGAGAUGUUAUCGAACACAGAGAAAGGAUCAAAAAGGAUAGUGUUAAUAAAUACAGAACAGACCCACAGCAUAGGCAGAAUGUGAAAGAAAGUAGUGUUAAUAAAUACAGAACAGACCCACAGCAUAGGCAGAAUGUGAAAGAAAGUAGUGUUAAUAAAUACAGAACAGACC
This 1561-nucleotide long non-coding RNA is filed under the name Salarias fasciatus (jewelled blenny). RNAcentral's name for it is "lncRNA (ENSSFAG00005002114.1)". Lineage: Eukaryota; Metazoa; Chordata; Actinopteri; Blenniiformes; Blenniidae. The record is from RNAcentral.